GAUGAACGCUGGCGGCGUGCUUAACACAUGCAAGUCGAACGGAAAGGCCACAGCUUGCUGUGGUACUCGAGUGGCGAACGGGUGAGUAACACGUGGGUGAUCUGCCCUGUACUUCGGGAUAAGCUUGGGAAACUGGGUCUAAUACCGGAUAGGAAUCACAUGUGGUUGUGUGGUUGGAAAGCUUUUGCGGUAUGGGAUGAGCUCGCGGCCUAUCAGCUUGUUGGUGGGGUAAUGGCCUACCAAGGCGUCGACGGGUAGCCGGCCUGAGAGGGUGUACGGCCACAUUGGGACUGGGAUACGGCCCAGACUCCUACGGGAGGCAGCAGUGGCGAAUAUUGCACAAUGGGCGCAAGCCUGAUGCAGCGACGCCGCGUGGGGGAUGACGGCCUUCGGGUUGUAAACUCCUUUCGUCAGGGACGAAGCGAAAGUGACGGUACCUGGAUAAGAAGCACCGGCUAACUACGUG
Molecule: ribosomal RNA, 466 nt
Filed under: uncultured bacterium
Lineage: Bacteria
Description: partial 16S ribosomal RNA
Rfam family: Bacterial small subunit ribosomal RNA
Source: RNAcentral